UCCGAAGGGGGCUAGCGUUGCUCGGAAUCACUGGGCGUAAAGGGUGCGUAGGCGGGUCUUUAAGUCAGGGGUGAAAUCCUGGAGCUCAACUCCAGAACUGCCUUUGAUACUGAGGAUCUUGAGUUCGGGAGAGGUGAGUGGAACUGCGAGCGUAGAGGUGAAAUUCGUAGAUAUUCGCAAGAACACCAGUGGCGAAGGCGGCUCACUGGCCCGAUACUGACGCUGAGGCACGAAAGCGUGGGGAGCAAACAGG
This 253-nucleotide ribosomal RNA is filed under the name uncultured bacterium. RNAcentral's name for it is "partial 16S ribosomal RNA". It matches the Rfam family "Bacterial small subunit ribosomal RNA", at positions 524 to 776 of the family's 1533-position model. The record is from RNAcentral.